GGUCCCUUAGCUCAGUUGGUUAGAGCGUGGUGCUAAUAUCGGAGGCGAUUUACUGCAAUUUAGUUGAGAACAUAUAUCGAUAUAUAGUGACGCCAAGGUCGCAGGUUCGACCCCUGCAGGGACCA
Non-coding RNA from Ascodesmis nigricans, 125 nucleotides. The record is from the annotation of a GenBank genome assembly. NCBI's taxonomy places the organism in Eukaryota, Fungi, Ascomycota, Pezizomycetes, Pezizales, Ascodesmidaceae.